This 253-nucleotide ribosomal RNA is filed under the name uncultured bacterium. Its description in RNAcentral is "partial 16S ribosomal RNA". It matches the Rfam family "Bacterial small subunit ribosomal RNA", at positions 524 to 776 of the family's 1533-position model. The record is from RNAcentral.
UACGAAGGGGGCUAGCGUUGUUCGGAAUCACUGGGCGUAAGGCGCACGUAGGCGGAUUGUUAAGUCGGGGGUGAAAUCCUGAGGCUCAACCUCAGAACUGCCUCCGAUACUGGCAAUCUCGAGUUCGGAAGAGGUUGGUGGAACAGCUAGUGUAGAGGUGAAAUUCGUAGAUAUUAGCUAGAACACCAGUGGCGAAGGCGGCCAACUGGUCCGACACUGACGCUGAGGUGCGAAAGCGUGGGGAGCAAACAGG